This 911-nucleotide ribosomal RNA is filed under the name uncultured archaeon. Its description in RNAcentral is "bacterial SSU rRNA". It matches the Rfam family "Archaeal small subunit ribosomal RNA", at positions 4 to 921 of the family's 1478-position model. The record is from RNAcentral.
CCGGUUGAUCCUGCCGGACCUGACUGCUAUCGGAUUGAUACUAAGCCAUGCGAGUCUUUGCAGUAAUGCAAGGCAUACGGCUCAGUAACACGUAGUCAACUUACCCUAUGGACGAGGAUAAUCUCGGGAAACUGAGCAUAAUACUCGAUAGAUCAUAAUGCCUGGAAUGGUUUAUGGUUAAAAUGAUUCGUCGCCAUAGGAUGGGACUGCGGCCUAUCAGCUUGUUGGUGAGGUAAUGGCCCACCAAGGCGAUUACAGGUACGGGCUCUGAGAGGAGAAGCCCGGAGAUGGGUACUGAGACAAGGACCCAGGCCCUAUGGGGCGCAGCAGGCGAGAAAACUUUGCAAUGUGCGAAAGCACGACAAGGUUAAUCCGAGUGAUUUCUGCUAAAGAAAUCUUUUGCAAGUCAUAAAACCACUAGUGAAUAAGGGGUGGGCAAGUUCUGGUGUCAGCCGCCGCGGUAAAACUAGCACCUCAAGUGGUCAGGAGGAUUAUUGGGCCUAAAGCAUCCGUAGCCGGCUCUGUAAGUUUUCGGUUAAAUCCAUGUGCUCAACACAUGGGCUGCCGAAAAUACUGCAUAGCUAGGGAGUGGGAGAGGUAGACGGUACUCAGUAGGAAGGGGUAAAAUCCUUUGAUCUAUUGAUGACCACCUGUGGCGAAGGCGGUCUACCAGAACACGUUCGACGGUGAGGGAUGAAAGCUGGGGGAGCAAACCGGAUUAGAUACCCGGGUAGUCCCAGCUGUAAACGAUGCAGACUCGAUGAUGCAUUGGCAUAUAGCCAGUGCAGUGUCGCAGGGAAGCCGUUAAGUCUGCCGCCUGGGAAGUACGUACGCAAGUAUGAAACUUAAAGGAAUUGGCGGGGGAGCACCACAAGGGGUGAAGCCUGCGGUUCAAUUGGAUUCAACGCCGG